Peromyscus eremicus (cactus mouse) is the source of this 486-nucleotide non-coding RNA. The record is from the annotation of a RefSeq genome assembly. Lineage: Eukaryota; Metazoa; Chordata; Mammalia; Rodentia; Cricetidae.
AUGGACCGUGAAGACAGUGCACCCUCUGCCUCCCCUAGUGUGGCCAUGGGUGCAAGGCUGUUCUUCUGUGUAGCAGUUUGUCUCCUUGAAGUUGGAUCUUUUGAUGCCAAAGUAACCCAGACUCCAGAAUAUCUGGUCAGAGAGAAAGGACAGAAAGCAAAAAUGAGCUGCACCCCUAAAAAAGGACAUACUGCCUUUUACUGGUAUCAACAGAACGAAAAAAGAGAACUUAAACUUUUGAUUAACUUUCGAAAUGAAGAAAUUAUUGAUCAAACAGACUUGGUCAAGAAACGAUUCUUAGCUGAGUGCCGCUCAAACUCACGCUGCAACCUGGAAAUCCAGUCCUCAGAGGCAGGAGACUCAGCACUGUACCUCUGUGCCAGCAGUGAAUACACAGCACUGAAAUGUGCAUUCCCCUCAGUGCACAAACCCCAUUGUGGACAGACCUCAGGAAGCGGGUUAAUACCAGACUCUAGAAGAAAGUAA